UACAGAGGGUGCAAGCGUUAAUCGGAAUUACUGGGCGUAAAGGGUGUGUAGGUGGCAAGAUAAGUUAGAUGUGAAAUCCUCGGGCUUAACCUGAGAAUUGCGUUUAAUACUGUCUGGCUAGAGUACUGCAGAGGGCAGUGGAAUUUCCAGUGUAGCGGUGAAAUGCGUAGAUAUUGGAAGGAACAUCAGUGGCGAAGGCGACUGCCUGGAUAGAUACUGACACUGAGACACGAAAGCGUGGGUAGCAAACAGG
RNAcentral lists this ribosomal RNA (253 nucleotides) under uncultured bacterium. RNAcentral describes it as "partial 16S ribosomal RNA". It matches the Rfam family "Bacterial small subunit ribosomal RNA", at positions 524 to 776 of the family's 1533-position model. The record is from RNAcentral.